GGACAAUUCCCCUCCGAGAUGUUGAUCCGCGCGCCACUCUCCUCGCGGAUCCUCUUAACCGACUCCCCUUUCUUCCCAAUGAUGCUUCCUACUUCCUUUCCGUGCAUAAGAAGCCGAAUGAGGAAGACAAACAUAAAGAUGAAGUGCUUAAUUCAAGGUCACACAAUGUCGGGGAUGGACCUCCAGAUUUCCUUACUGACCUGCAUUAUCUUGUGGAUACCUGAGUGAAUUCCACACCACCCAUUUUAUAGAUGAAACCACUGAGACAUGGAGCAACUGACUGAGUAGUCACUGCCCCACCCCUGCCUGGAGCCUCACACAUGACUCGUCUCCUCUCAGUGACCACAGGUUGGUUGAGGGGUUUAACAAGGCUAAGAAGGUGAGACGUGGUCUUGUAACACAGUGGUUAAGAAUGUGACUUUGGAGCCAGCCUGCUAGGGGCUGAAUUCUGACUCAGCCAUUUACUAACUGUGUGACCUUAGGUCACAGAAUUUUCCACACUCCUUGACGGAGGUGCUUAACCCUUAUCCAUCAGCAUUCUCAGACAGCACCU
RNAcentral lists this non-coding RNA (553 nucleotides) under Pan troglodytes (chimpanzee). The record is from RNAcentral. Lineage: Eukaryota; Metazoa; Chordata; Mammalia; Primates; Hominidae.